GAUGAACGCUGGCGGCAUGCCUAAUACAUGCAAGUCGAGCGAACGGACGAGAAGCUUGCUUUUCUGAUGUUAGCGGCGGACGGGUGAGUAACACGUGGAUAACCUACCUAUAAGACUGGGAUAACUUCGGGAAACCGGAGCUAAUACCGGAUAAUAUUUUGAACCGCAUGGUUCAAAAGUGAAAGACGGUCUUGCUGUCACUUAUAGAUGGAUCCGCGCUGCAUUAGCUAGUUGGUAAGGUAACGGCUUACCAAGGCAACGAUGCAUAGCCGACCUGAGAGGGUGAUCGGCCACACUGGAACUGAGACACGGUCCAGACUCCUACGGGAGGCAGCAGUAGGGAAUCUUCCGCAAUGGGCGAAAGCCUGACGGAGCAACGCCGCGUGAGUGAUGAAGGUCUUCGGAUCGUAAAACUCUGUUAUUAGGGAAGAACAUAUGUGUAAGUAACUGUGCACAUCUUGACGGUACCUAAUCAGAAAGCCACGGCUAACUACGUGCCAGCAGCCGCGGUAAUACGUAGGUGGCAAGCGUUAUCCGGAAUUAUUGGGCGUAAAGCGCGCGUAGGCGGUUUUUUAAGUCUGAUGUGAAAGCCCACGGCUCAACCGUGGAGGGUCAUUGGAAACUGGAAAACUUGAGUGCAGAAGAGGAAAGUGGAAUUCCAUGUGUAGCGGUGAAAUGCGCAGAGAUGUGGAGGAACACCAGUGGCGAAGGCGACUUUCUGGUCUGUAACUGACGCUGAUGUGCGAAAGCGUGGGGAUCAAACAGGAUUAGAUACCCUGGUAGUCCACGCCGUAAACGAUGAGUGCUAAGUGUUAGGGGGUUUCCGCCCCUUAGUGCUGCAGCUAACGCAUUAAGCACUCCGCCUGGGGAGUACGACCGCAAGGUUGAAACUCAAAGGAAUUGACGGGGGCCCGCACAAGCGGUGGAGCAUGUGGUUUAAUUCGAAGCAACGCGAAGAACCUUACCAAAUCUUGACAUCCUUUGACAACUCUAGAGAUAGAGCCUUCCCCUUCGGGGGACAAAGUGACAGGUGGUGCAUGGUUGUCGUCAGCUCGUGUCGUGAGAUGUUGGGUUAAGUCCCGCAACGAGCGCAACCCUUAAGCUUAGUUGCCAUCAUUAAGUUGGGCACUCUAAGUUGACUGCCGGUGACAAACCGGAGGAAGGUGGGGAUGACGUCAAAUCAUCAUGCCCCUUAUGAUUUGGGCUACACACGUGCUACAAUGGACAAUACAAAGGGCAGCGAAACCGCGAGGUCAAGCAAAUCCCAUAAAGUUGUUCUCAGUUCGGAUUGUAGUCUGCAACUCGACUACAUGAAGCUGGAAUCGCUAGUAAUCGUAGAUCAGCAUGCUACGGUGAAUACGUUCCCGGGUCU
RNAcentral lists this ribosomal RNA (1372 nucleotides) under uncultured bacterium. RNAcentral's name for it is "bacterial SSU rRNA". It matches the Rfam family "Bacterial small subunit ribosomal RNA", at positions 28 to 1381 of the family's 1533-position model. The record is from RNAcentral.